This 28293-nucleotide long non-coding RNA is filed under the name Citrus x clementina. RNAcentral's name for it is "Citrus clementina (C. clementina) long non-coding RNA (CCLE_LNC005232)". The record is from RNAcentral. Lineage: Eukaryota; Viridiplantae; Streptophyta; Magnoliopsida; Sapindales; Rutaceae.
GUUGGUGGUGGUUUCACGUCAGAUUAAGACGUGACACCUUACUAAUGAAGUCGAGACAAUUAGCUUAAAUUAUUUCAACGCAUUUGAAAUUUCCACUAAUGACUAUAAUUCUUUUUCCUAAUUACUACGAUAAUUAAUAACAUACAAUUGAAAUAAUUAAUAUUAGCACUUGGCAAUAAAUAAUUAAAUUUCAUUAACAUUAAAUAAUAAUUGAAUAUGGCUUUGUACAUCGAUGACGCCAACAACAAGGGGACCGCGAUUAUCACUCUUUAAGUUGCUUUUAAAAUUGAUUUUAAUAGUGAUAUGAUUAUUGUAGUGUUUUUAUUUUUUAUAUUAAAAUUAAGUGAUUUGUUAUAAUAAACUUAGUUGAGUUUAAUGGUAUUACUACAUAAAUUGAAUAGUUAUCAAAUAUUUUAAUAUUUUUAUGGCAACCGUUGACGUGGCAUUUAUUUGUUGUAUGAUGGAUUUUAAAAUUUAUAAAAUUAUUUGUUAUUAAAUUACCCCCAGAUGCUACAUCACCUGAAACUUACUAAAGUUAUGAAGACAUGUGUGUGUGGACUGAAAUGAAGAAUAUGGAAAAGUUUAGAGCUGUUGUGCAGAUUGACUUCAGUUGAUGGGGUCUAUUAGAUAUUGUCUGCUGACGUGGCAUGAAUUCGUUAUAAUCUGUUAUAACGAGUUCAGUAUAUCAGUAUACAAUAGAGCUGAUGGAUGGUGCCUGUUUUAGAGUCUUUUUUAUAUUCAUUUGUUCAUCAUUUUGCACAAGAUAUGUUCCAUUGUGAUAUGUGUAAAGUCUUAUGUAAAUCCACUUAUGAUUGGAUUAGUUCUUGAUUAAUAACAACGAGUAAAUUUUCCUUCAAGUGUGCUGGUCUGUGCCCCUGUUUUUUGUUCUAAUAUUGUUUCUUUGUUUUGGCAUUUCAUUUCGAUUGUGUUCUUGGUGUUUCUACUCAUCAAGAUUUAUGAGUCUUGUUGAUAUUAAAGACUUAAUAGUCUUAACAAGUGGUAUCAGAGCCUGGUGAAUCUCAGCCAUGUCUCUUUCGAAGCAUGAAAUUGAAAAAUUCACCAUUGGUGGUGAUUUCUCACUUUCGAAAUUAAAAAUGAGGGCUCUCCUUGUGCAUCAGGGGCUUGAAUUUUCUCUGGAAGAAGAUAAUCUAGAGGCUGCUACAAGUUCUGUGACUGAUGAUAAGAAGAGACAAAUCCAAAACCGAGCUCGUAGCACUCUAAUUUUGAGUCUUGGUGACUCAAUCUUGAGAAAGAUUUCUGAAGAGAAGACAACCUUAGGGAUUUGGAACAAGGUAGAAGCUUUGUGUACAAAGAAGUCCUUAGCUCACAGACUAUUCUUGAAGAAAAAGUUAUACACAUUCUCGAUGAGAGAAGGAGUCACAAUUCAAGAUCACAUUGAUACCUUCAACAAGAUCAUUCUUGAUCUUGAAGGGGUGGAAAAUGUGACAAUAAGUGAUGAAGAUAAAGCCUUCUUCUUGCUAAGUUCCUUACCAAAGUCUUACGAAGGCUUUGUAGAUACAAUGCUUUAUGGCAGAACAACAUUGACUCUUGAAGAUGUUAAAGCAUCUCUAAGUUCAAAAGAGAUUCAGAAGAACAAUGAGAUUGAAAGCUGAUUGCCAGAUCAGAAAAGAAGAAAUAUCAGAAGAAUAAAAAUCAGGGAAAAUGACAUGGAAAGAAUUAAGAAAUGCAGACAAGAAGAAAAAAAAAGAGAAAAUGCUUCUACUGCAGGAAGGAAGGGCAUUACAUCAGGGAUUGUCUUAAAAAGAAAAAGAAAGAAAGUCAAGAGAAGUUAGGGGAUGCAGUUGUAGCCUCUGAUGAUGCCUCUGAUGGAUAUCACAGUGCUGAUUUACUUGUGGCCUCAAAUAGCAAUACUAAAGGUCAGUGGGUCAUAGACUCUAAGUGCUCUUUUCACUUGUGUCCUGAUAAAACCAUAUUUUACAAAUAUGAAGUUGUUGAUGGUGGUAGAGUCUUAAUGGGAAACAAUAAUGUGUGUAAUCUUGUUGGUGUUGGUUCUGUGAAGAUCAAGAUAUUUGAUGGAACUGUAAGAGCUCUACAUGAGGUGAGGCAUGCUCCUAAAGAUGGCCAAUGGGUCGAGCGGCACAUGGCACGGCACGUGUCCGUACGGCACGGCACGGCAUGAGCACGUUUCGGUGAGGCACGAGGCAUGGCACGGCACGCACGUGGGCCGUGCCGAGCCUAGAAUUUUAGGCACGCGGGCCUUAAAGCACGGCACAAUUAGAGAUGGGCCAAAGCACGGCACGCGAAAAAGCAUGUAAUAAGCACGGUUCAUUAGUGAGCUAGCACGCGGUCCGUGAGCCAUUAAUAGCACAUGGGCCAAAAUAUAUUUAAGUAAUUUUUUUUAACAAAAUGUAAAUAUAAAAUGUUAUGAAAUUAAAGUACAAUAUCUUGAAAUUAAAUGUUUUAAUAUAUUUUUUAGCAUAGACUUUUAAAAAUUAAUUUAAAUCAUUAAAUCUUAGUUUAAAUAAAUAUUCUAAUCUUUUAUGUUUAUAAUUUAUUAAAUGAAUAAGUAAAUAUCAUGAUUUUAAUAAAUAAAAUUAUAAAUAUCAUAAUUUUAUUUAUGAUAUUUAUUAAAUGAAUAACGUUAUUUAUGAUAUUUAAUUUUAUUUAUGAUAUUUAUUUAAUUAUUUAUUUAUGUUUAUAAUUUAUUAAAUGAAUAAGUAAAUAAUUAAAUAUCAUGAUUUUAAUAAAUAAGGUUAUAAAUAUCAUAAAUUUAUAAAUUAUAAAUAAAAAAUAAAUUUAUAAAUAAAAAAUAAAAAAUAAAUUUUUUUACAAAAUUAAUAAUAAAAUAUUUUUCAUAUUAAUAUUAAAUCAUAACUUAGUUAAUAUUUAAUAGAGAUACGUUUCAUUUGUGAAUGAAAUAUUUUCCAUUUUAUACACAAGAAAAAUUAUGAUAAAUUAAAAUUUAUAUUUUUAUUAAAUGAAAUUAAAGUACAAUUAUAAUAUUAGUAAUUCAAAUAAAAUUAGGUGUAAUUUGCAUCACUACAGUAAACAGUACAUCCCAACUAGGUUGGCACUUAUUGAACCAUCUAUCAUUUGCAAAUUUACAACCUUCUCACUAAUAAAAAUUGUUUCAAAAAGUUACAAGAAAAAAAAAUCACUAGUCUUUGGAAGUGGCUUCAAUGUUCAGUACUCUGCAUAAUCUGGAUCCACUUCAUCUUGAUCAACAUUAACUCUCAAUUUGUUUAAUUAAAGCAUUUUGCCAAUCUUAUUGCACUCGGCGUUCAGCAUCUUCCUAAUCUUUCAAACACAAUAAAGAGUCUAAUGUCUCUGAUGACAAUCUUGACCGAUGUUCAUCUAGAAAUUAAUUAUUAUAAUGAUUAUUCGAGGAUUGUAUUUUUAAUUUUAAUUAAUUAUUAUUAUGAUCUAUGGAAUUAAAUUUAUGUAUUGUUGUGUUAUGAAUUAUGAUUGAUUAUUGUGAAAUAAAAUAUAUAGUUGUGAAAUUGUGAUAAACUAAUAAUAAAAUGUUAAUUGCUCUCUUAAUAAAAAUUAAUAUGAUUAUGAUUGUGAAUAUUAUUAUUAUUAUUAUUAUUAUUAUUAUGUUGGUGGGCUUAAAAAAGCACGUCAGGCACAUGGGCUUUUUUAGGCACGCUAAAAAAAAAAAAAGUUGGUGGGCUUUUUUUGGGCACGGCACGAGAGGGCUCGUGCCGUGGGCCGUGCCGGGCUCAACUGAAAAAAAUGUAGGCACGGCACGGCACGACCCACCAAUUUGGUGGGCCGUGCCGUGCCGGCCCACGAGCCCUUGUGGGCCGACACUGCCGGCACAGCCCAUUGGCCAUAGUUACAUGCUCCUAGGCUAAAGAGAAAUCUAAUCUCUUUAGGCAUGCUAGACAGCUUAGGGUAUUUCUUUAAAUCAGAAAGUGGUGGUUUAUAGAUAAGAAAGGGGACUGAGAUAGUGAUGAAGGGGGUUAAAGAGAAUGGCUUACAUGUAUUGUAAGGCUCAUCAGUGCUUGUUCAAGAGGGAAUUUCUGCUCUUUCUGAGGAAGAUAUAACCAAGUUAUGACAUCUUAGACUUGGUCAUAUGAGUGUCAAAGGGAUGCAAGAGCUCAGCAAACAAGGGCUACUUGGUGGGGAUAGAAUCCAGCAACUGGAAUUAUGUGAAAACUGCAUUUUUGGCAAAGCUCACAGGUCCAAGUUUCACAAGGGGGAGCAUAUGUCUAAGCAAGUUUUGGACUAUGCACAUGCUGACCUUUGGGGGCCUGCUCAAGUCCCAUCCUUGAGUGGUGGCAGGUAUUUCAUAUCACUAAUUGAUGAUUACUCAAGGAAGAUGUGGGUCUACAUACUCAAGACCAAAGAUCAAGCCUAGGAAAAAAUUCAAGGUAUAGAAAUCUUUGGUAGAAAAUCAAUUUGGAUUCAAGCUCAAAUGCUUGAGAACUGAUAAUGGUUUGGAAUUUUAUAGCAAAGAAUUUGAGGAAUAUUACAAAAAAACAUGGCAUAAAAAGGCACAAAACAGUCAGGUUCACCCCCCAGCAGAAUGGCUUGGCUGAGAGGAUGAACAUGACCUUGGUAGAUAAGACCAGAUGUAUGUUGAUAAAUUCAAAGCUUCCAAGAAGCUUUUGGGUAGAAGCUGUCAAUACAACAAGUUAUUUGGUUAACAGAAGCCCAUAUUCUGCAAUUGGCUUCAAGACACCAGAAGAAUUGUGGAAGGGAAAACCUGCAAAUUACCAAAAUCUCAGUGUUUUUGGAUGCCCUGCUUAUCUCCACAUCAAUCAAGGCAAGCUGGAAGCUAGGGCCUUGAAAGGAGUCUUUGUUGGAUAUCCUGAUGGGGUUAAGGGAUACAUAAUCUGGUGUAGAGAGUAAGGGAAGUGUAUAGUCAGCAGGGAUGUUGUGUUUCAUGAAUUUGGAUUGCUAAAAGAAAAUGCAGAGAAUGAUACUGGACUACAAAAUGAUUCAACAAUUAUCAAACAAUCUGGAACUUCCAAGGUUAAGGUGGAGCUGUUUGGAGAUAAAGACAAUAGAAAAGAGGUAGCUGAUUAUGAAGAGAGGAACACAGCUAAAGUUGAGGAACAUGAGUCAUUAGAGUUACCACAAGCUGACUUGCAGACUUAUCAAUUAGCAAGAGAUGGAGUUAGAAGGGAAGUCAGAGCACUAGUGAGGUAUGGCUAUGUUGACUUAAUUGUUUAUGCAUUGUUGUGUGCUGAUGAUGUGGCAAUUGAAGAGCCUGCUAACUUCUCUGAAGCUAUUGAAAGUGUGCAUUGUGAUAAGUGGCUUGAGGCAAUGCAAGAUGAAAUGGAAUCCCUUCAAAGAAAUCAGACCUGGACACUUGUUCCAAAUCUAGGUAAUAAAAAGUUGAUCAGUUGUAAGUGGAUCUUCAAAAAGAAUAAAGGAAUUCCAGAUGUUGAACCUCCCAAAUAUAAAGCAAGGCUAGUGGCUAGGGGGUUUACAAAGAGAAAGGGUGUAGAUUUCAAUGAAAAAUUUUCCCUUGUUCUUAAGCACAGUUCAAUAAGAAUUUUAUUAGCCAUGGUAGCCUUACUUGACUUUGAGCUUGAGCAAAUGGAUGUAAAAACAGCCUUCCUUCAUGGUAAUCUUAAAGAACAUAUAUUGAUGGCACAACCUAAAGGUUUUGAGUGCAAAGGAAAGGAGGAUUAUGUUUGUUUGCUGCAUAAGUCCUUGUAUGGACUCAAGCAAUCCCCACGACAGUGGUACAUAAGAUUUGAUGAUUUUAUGAUCUCAAAAGGCUAUCACAGAAGCAAAUAUGACAGUUGUGUUUACUUUGGUGGAUCAUAUCAAGGUGGAGUUGCUUAUUUGCUUUUGUAUGUUGACGAUAUGUUAAUUGCAAGCAAAUAUAAGUUGGAGAUAAAGAGGUUGAAGAAUCUGUUGAAGGCUGAGUUUGAAAUGAAGGAUCUCGGCAAUGCCAAAAGAAUCCUUGGGAUGAACAUUACAAGGGGCAGAUCUGCUGACACUUUGUUCUUGAGUUAAGAGAAAUAUAUCAGGAAGGUUCUAAAGAGGUUUGAUAUGCAAGACUAUAAACCUGUCCAAACACCACUUGGUCCCCAAUUCAAGUUGACAGCAACUCAAUCAUCAGAAGAUGAGUCUCAGGUGAGUGAAUUCCCAUAUGCACAGGUUGUAGGGAGCCUGAUGUAUGCAAUGGUAUGCACCAGGUUAGAUAUAGCUUACGCAGUAAGUGUUGUCAGCAAAUUUCUCAGUUGUCCGGGCAAGGUUCACUGGAAUGUUGUAAAAUGGAUAAUGAGAUAUCUCAAGGGCUCUUUUACUUGUGGUUUGCUGUAUGGGAAGACUAAGAGUGACAUAAGUGAAGUCAUGGGGUUUGUAGACUCUGACUUUGCUGGAGAUCUUGAUAGAAUGAAGUCAACCUCAGGGUAUAUGUUUGUGUUAAACAGUUGCCUGAUUAGCUGGAAGUCAUCACUUCAGUCUGUGGUUGCUUUAUCCUCAAUUGAAGCUGAGUUUAUUGCAACUACAGAGGCAGUAAAAGAGGCCAUGUGGCUAAGAGGUUUGCUUAAUGAGUUAUGGUUAAAUCAGAAAAUUGUUCAGGUUUUCUGUGAUAACCAAAGUGUCAUACACCUGGUAAAGAAUCAGAUGUAUCAUGAAAGAACCAAGCACAUUGAUGUGAAGCUCCAGUUUAUCAGAGAUGAGGUUGGAAAGGAAACUGUAAUUGUGUCCAAGAUCUAUACUAGUGUGAAUCCAACUGAUGUUAUUACAAAAGCACUUCCCACUGCAAAAUUUGAAUUCUAUGUGAAUCUAAUGGGCAUCUCGCCCAAACCUAACUAAAUUCAAUAGUGAAUUGUAGUUGAAUGAAGGUUUUUUAGGUGCUGUGUUAUUGAAAGGAUCAACUGAAUCAACUGCAAGGUGGAGAAUGUGAAGACAUGUGUGUGGACUGAAAUGAAGAAUAUGAAAAAGUUGAGAGCUGUCGUGCAGAUUGACUUCAAUUGAUGGGGUUUAUUAGAUAUUGUCUGCUGACGUGGCAUGAAUUCGUUAUAAUCUGUUAUAACGAGUUCAAUAUAUCAGUAUAUAAUAGAGCUGAUGGAUGGUGCCUGUUUUAGAGUCUUUUUCGUAUUCAUUUGUUCAUCAUUUUGCACAAGAUCUAUUCCAUUGUGAUCUGUGUAAAGUCUUCUGUAAAUCCACUCAUGAUUAGAUUAGUUCUUGAUCAAUAACAACGAGUAAAUUUUCCUUCAAGUGUGCUGGUCUGUGCCCCUGUUUUUGGUUCUAAUAUUGUUUCUUUGUUUUGGCAUUUCAUUUCGAUUGUGUUCUUGGUGUUUCUACUCAUCAAGAUUUGUGAGUCUUGUUGAGAUUAAAGGCUUAAUAGUCUUAACAAAAGGGAAUGUAGCAUUGCCAUUAAUCAACAUUCACUCUUAUGACUUUAUGACAUUAGAAUUACAAUCUUUCGUACAUUUAAUUUAUUUGCUUCCAAAUUAAUCUUUAAUAAAUACUUUUUCACAUUAUCAUCAAUGGACAAAACUCCAACGAAAAUAACUACACAAGAACAAUUUAUGCUAGUAUUAUAUGCCACAAUAUCUAUAACUUUGUCUGGAUCGAUCAUUCUAAUUUUUUCGCAGAACUUUUUGUCAAUGGACAAACACCUCACAGAGCUUGUCAGCCGCAUUAUUACGAUGUAAAAUUGUACCGGAAUAUCUUGAAUUAUUAGUAGAAUACUGAAGACUAUUUGGGGCAAUAAAAACAAAUAACGCAGAUAAAAAAAUGGCUAAAAUUAUGUAAGUGAGCCCCAAAGUUUUUGCUAUUUCCAGGAAAUCCCAAAUUUGAAUGGACUAGAGGGAGGCACGUAAGAAAUGCAUUUUCUUCCUAGACAAUGACAGCUAUGACAUCAAGCCACGGUGGCGUCAGUAUUGAAAUUAAGGUGUAAUUAUUCAGCCAAUGAGCCUUACACAUCAAGAUAAAAGUCAAGAAAAUGAAAAUUUGGCUGUUUCCAUUUGAAGUUAAAAGCAACGUUUCUUUCGUUUUGUGGGCGACUCGACUGAGCACGCCCCAAUAGCUAUAUUUGGGGCGUCAAUUUGAUUUUUUUUUUUUUUUUAUUAAGAAGGGCUCAAUAUAACGAGCUAAACCGGAACAAGACGGGGUUUAGCAACCCCAAAUAUAUCUUACAGAAUAGUUGAAUAAAUACCCACAGGCGGGUUAGUAAAUAAAUGUAAACCAUGAGGGGUGGAGUGAGCCAUAUUAGCCAUGAAAUCCGCAGCCGAGUUUGCUUCGCGAAAGAUGUGAGUGAGAGAAACUUGCCAGUUCCUGCUUAGAAGGUCCUGCACAGCAACAACUAGAGCAUAGAAAACAUUAGGCACGACCUCCUGCUUAGAAAGCAUCUGUCAAUUUGAUAUUUGAAUGGACAGGCUAGUAAGAAAUACAUUUCCUUCAUAGAAAAUGACAACGAGGACAUCAAGCCACAUCAUUAUAGUUUGUAGCCCAUCUACAUUUAAACGAUUAAUAAACAAGCUUAGGUAUGCCACUGCUAUUAUUAAUUAUCCCCUGAUCAUUAUAGUUUCUGAAACAGUAAAACAAAACGAAAUUGAAUACAUCAAAGAAACCGUAAUUAUCACUUCUUUAGUUGCGGUAUUUAACUUAAUUUUAAUAUAAUAUAUUUGUUAGUUAAACUUUUAAUAAUCAAAUAAUUUUGAUUUAAAAAUAAAAUUAUAGAAAUUAUUAAUUAUUAAAAAUUCACAAUUAAGGGAACGUUCAUCAAACACACAUAGCUAUUGUUUUCUCUAUAUAUUGCAGUGUGUACGAUAUUGAGGGUUGAAGCCCCAAGCAUGCUCUAAAAUCCAGAUAAUAAUUAGAUCCAUGCAAAAUAUUCAUCGUUGUAUCAGCUGAUCAGUUGGUGGUGAUGAAGGGUGUUAUUGGCGGAGCUCAAAGUUAUUAUGUGCAUGUUGGGUGGAUAUCUCUAUUGAAAAUAUCUCUGAUAUUUCACUCGACAAACUUGUUAAUAUAAAAAAAUCUAUGGUUUUGCCGUCUGCAUACUGUAGAAAAUUUUGUCUCUACGUUAAUCUAAAUGUUUGAGGUGAUUAGAAAUUGCCUACUAUAUAUAAAGGGAAAUAAUUUCUAGGUUGAUUGAUACAUCUCUAUUCAAAAUAUCUCUGACAUUUCACUCGACAAACUUAUUAAUAUAAAAAAUCUGUGGUUUUGCCGACUGAAUAAUGUAGAAAAAUUUGUCUAUGCAUUAAUCUAGAUGUUUGAGGUGAUUUAUACAUCUGUGGUAAAGAUUUAUAGGUUGACUUAUACGUCUGUGGUAUAGAUUUUAUGUAUUUCAUUACAAAAUGCUGGCCGUUAGAACCCUUUCUACAUCUAUUUAUAAGAUUAACGGGUGCCAGCUAUGCCAUUACAAAUUAUCCCCUCAUCAGAUAUUUCGUUAAAAUUCAUUCUGAAACACUAAAACUAAAUAAUCGAACAUGGCUUUGCGGGUCGAUGAUGCCAGCAGCAAUGAGACUGCAAUUAUCACUUGUUUAGUUUCUGUGCUUGCCGUGGUUUACUUCGCAUGGAAUGUGAAAAAAUCAAGGAAAGCAAAUGCUACACUGCCACCAGGACCUCGCGGCUUGCCUGUAUUCGGAUACCUCCCAUUUCUUGGAACUACUGACUUGCACAAGAAAUUCACGGAAUUAUCCGGAGUUUAUGGUCCGAUCUUCAAGCUUUGGCUUGGAAAUAAAUUAUGUGUAGUGGUGAGCUCACCUUCCCUAAUUAGACAAGUGGUUCGUGAUCAAGAUACAACAUUCGCGAACCGUGACCCACCGAAGGCUGCACUAGUGGUCUCCUAUGGUGGCAAUGAUAUUGCAUGGUCCAAUUACGGUCCCGAAUGGAGAAAGUUGCGCAAAUUUUUUGUGGGCAAGUUGAUGAAUAACGCAAGCCUUGAUGCUUGUUAUGCUCUAAGAAAACAAGAGGUUAAAAAUACUAUCAGGGAUUUGUAUAACAACGACAACAAAAUUGGCAAGCCCAUUGACAUUGGUGAAUUGUCGUUUUCAACAUUGGUAUGUGCUAUACAGAACAUGCUGUGGGGUGAAGCGCUUGAAUUAAAAGAGAAAGGGACCAAUAAUCUUAGGGCUGGGCUAAAAUUUAAGCUGGCAGACCUCAUGGUGCUUGCGGGAACACCGAAUAGUUCGGAUGUCUUUCCAGUGCUUUCAUGGCUUGACAUACAAGGUAUAGAGAGGAGAGCAAAGAAGAUUUCACUCUGGCUUGAUAAUGUUAUAAAUUCUACUGUUGAACAGCAUAGAAACAAGGAGUUAACUGUUGAAGGUGAAGAAAGAGCGGGGGAAAAUUUUGAAGGAUCAAGGAACAAGAACUUCUUGCAGUUACUAUUGGAGCUUCAAGAAAAUGAUGACAGUGCUUCCUCAAUUAGCAUGAACCAAUUCAAGGCCGUACUCGCGGUAUGUUAAGCAACUAGCCACGAACAGUUAUACAAGCACAGUUGUAUAUUUGCAUGAGUGAUAUUUUCAACCUUUUUUUUUAAUUAGAAUUUUAUUGUCACCUUUUGGACAGGAUAUAAUUACGGCUGGAACCGACACCACAACUACGAUGGUGGAAUGGACAAUGGCAGAGUUGAUGCUGUCAAAGUUGGCUGCAUCUAGAAGUGUUUGACAUUUGAAAGAAGAAAAUGGUGCAGCCGGCCAAAGAAAAUGGUGCCAUCCAAAUGGAGAAAAAGAAGAAGUUGGUAACUACAUUUGAAAUAUAUACAUAUAUAUAUUAAUUUAAUAGCCAUUUUUUAGCUAUAAAAGGAAGAGCUCCCUAAUUCAUUUGCAUUUAAAUUCCAUUUAGAGAGCAAUUUAGGGAGUUGAGAGAGAGUUCAAGAGCUUGCAUUUAUAAGCUCUUGUUACAGUGAUUGAGAGAGUUUGAGUGUAUUGGGGUUUUGGGUAGUGAGCUAAAAUACUACAAUAGUUGUAACUCCUUUUCACUAGUAAAAUAUUUCCUUCUGUCUUCGCCCGUGGAUGUAGGCUAAAAGCCGAACCACGUAAUUUCUGGUGUCCUCUAUUGUGCUUGUUCUUUAUUUUUCUACCAAUUUUUACUUUAGCUGCGUGUCUGCUUCACCCACCAAUUUCCUAACAGUGGUAUCAGAGCUAUUGGUUGUAUUUUUGGAGUCGGGAACUGUUCACAUAAGGGGUACUAUUUACGUAUAUGGCACUGUACACGUAUACGAAACUAUUCACGUAUACGGUACUGUUCACGUAUACAGUUUUGUUCACAUAGACGGUACUAUUCACGUAUACGGUACUAUUCACGUGAAACGGUGGAAGCAAUCCAAGAAUUUUGCGGUGCAAAGCAGGGAAUAGUGGUGUGAGUAAAGCAACUGUGUGGUUUUGUACAUGUCUAGGAAAGUUCUGUCACAAAGGCGAUAAGAGUUUAAGGAGUCUGGGUUUUAAGUGGGACCAUUGUGACCCCUCCAGUCUUUCCUGGGAACUUUCCUGGUGUGCAUUCUCACACAUACUCACAACUAUUCAAGGUGGUAUACUAGCUUGUGUGCAGUAUUUAUCAACAAAAUGGCGGCAAAGUAUGAAAUUGAGAAGUUUAACGGAAAUAAUUUUUCAUUGUGGAAAAUGAAGAUGAAAGCUGUAUUGAGGAAAAAUAAUUGUUUGGCAGCAAUUGGAGAAAGGCCCAUGGAGAUAACUGAUGACAAGUGGAACGAGGUAGACGGCAACGCCAUUUCUGAUCUACACUUGGCACUUGCGGAUGGAGUAUUAUCCAGUGUGGCAGAGAAAAAUACGGUGAAGGAAAUAUGGGAUACUUUCACAAAAUUGUAUGAGGCCAAGUCACUACACAACAAAAUCUUCUUGAAGAUAAAACUCUAUACCCUUCGAAUGGCGGAAUCUACAAUGGUGACCGACCAGAUCAACACAUUGAAGACUCUAUUUUCACAACUCACAAUGUUGGGUCAUAAUAUAGAGGAAAAUGAACGUGCAGAGCUUCUACUUCAAAGUCUACCAGAUUCGUAUGAUCAACUCAUCAUCAACCUGACGAACAACAAUCCAGUGGAGGGUCUAGUUUUCGACGAUGUUGCAGCCUCCGUAUUAAAUGAGGAGAGCAGGCGAAAAAAUAAGGAAAACAGACAAGCAAGUUCGCAGCAAGCAGAAGCGCUAUCGGUGACGAGAGGGAGAUCAACGGAACGUGGCCCCAGUGGGAGUCAAAAUCAUGGUAGAUCAAAAUCCAGAAGUAAGAAGAAUGUUAAAUGCUACAACUGUGGCAAGAAAGGGCACGUCAAGAAAGAGUGUUGGAGUAACCAGAAGAAAAGAGAGGGCAAAGAACCUGAGUCAUCAAAUGCUCAGGGUUGUGUAGCAAGUACCUCGGAUGAUGGCGAAAUACUCUACAGUGAGGCAACAACUGUUUCAAAAGGCAGAAAACGACUGUCUGAUGUCUGGCUUAUAGACUCAGGAGCUACCUGGCACAUGACCUCUCGGAGAGAAUGGUUCCACACAUAUGAACCUAUCUCAGGAGGAUCUGUAUAUAUGGGUAAUGAUCAUGCCUUGGAGAUCGUUGGUAUUGGUACUAUCAAAAUAAAAAUGUUUGAUGGUACAAUUCGCACAAUUGGGGAGGUACGACAUGUCAACGGCCUGAAGAAAAAUCUAUUGUCUUUGGGACAAAUGGAUAGUCAUGGGUACAAAACUCAUGUGGAGAAUGGAAUUAUGAAGAUUGUUAAAGGUGCGCUUGUAUUGAUGAAGGCAGAAAAGAUCGGUGCUAAUUUAUUCAUGCUUAAAGGAGAAACACUACAGGAGGCUGAUGCGUGUGUCGCGUCAAAUGGAGAAGAAUCAACGAUAAUGUGGCAUCUAAAACUUGGCCACAUGUCAGAACAAGGCUUGAAGAUUCUCUCUGAACGAAAAUUACUUUCGGGGCUCAAAUCGGUAAGUUUACCAUAUUGCGAGCAUUGUGUUACAAGUAAGCAGCAUAGAUUAAAAUUCAGUAGAUCUAUUGCUAGAAGUAAAUGCAUUCUAGACUUGAUUCAUUCUGAUGUUUGGGAAUCACCGGAUAUAUCCAUGGGAGGUGCAAAGUACAUGGUGACUUUCAUUGAUGAUUAUUCCAGAAGAUGUUGGGUGUAUCCAAUUAAGAAAAAGUCAGAUGUAUUUUCUGUGUUUAAAGAAUACAAAGAGCGGGUGGAACUUGAAUCUGGUAAAAAGAUCAAGUGCUUGAGGACAGAUAAUGGUGGAGAGUAUACAGACGGCGAGUUUCUUGCUUUCUGUAAGCAAGAAGGUAUUCAGAGGCAGUUCACAGUGGCAUACACGCCUCAAUAAAACGGAGUGGCGGAGCGGAUAAACAGAACUCUUACAGAAAGAAUAAGAGCUAUGUUGAGGACUGCUGGUCUACCCAAUUCAUUCUGGGCAGAAGCAGCCAAAACUGCCUGUUAUAUAGUAAAUCGGUCGCCAUCUACACCUAUUGGGUUGAAGACGGCGAUGGAGAUGUGGACUGAAAAGCCAGCUGAUUAUUCUUACCUACAUGCAUUUGGAUGUCCUGUGUAUGUGAUGUACAAUGCUCAAGAAAGAAUAAAGCUGGAUCCAAAAUCUAGAAGAUGUAUCUUCUUGGGGUAUGUUGAUGGAGUAAAGGGGUAUCGUCUGUGGGACCCCACUGCCCACAAAAUCGUCAUCAGCAGAGAUGUUAUCUUUAUAGAAAAUCAACUGCAAAGGAGAGAUGAGGAUGAUGACACUGCAAAAGAAAAGUCAGAGACUGUGCCAGUAUAUGUGGAAAAUAAUCUAGAAGAUUCAGAUUCUUAUGAAGCAGCACCAGAGCACGAGGAACAAGAACCAAUCGAGUCUGAAGCUCCAGAAGUUCGUCGGUCAACUCGUGAGAGACGACCGCCGGCGUGGCACUCGGAGUAUGUCACAGAGAUCAACGUUGCAUACUGUCUUCUAAUAGAGGAUGGAGAGCCUUCAACUUUCCAUGAAGCUUUAAACAGCUCAGAUGUUGCUUUGUGGAUGACAGCAAUGCAUGAAGAAAUUGAAGCUCUACACAAGAACAAGACAUGGGAACUUGUACCACUACCACGUGGAAGAAAAGCCAUUGAAAACAAAUGGGUCUACAAGAUCAAACGUGAUGGCAAUGACCAAGUGGAGCGGUAUCGUGCCAGAUUGGUGGUGAAAGGAUAUGCUCAGGAAGAAGGUAUUAACUUCAACGAGAUAUUUUCGCCGGUGGUUCGACUCACAACAGUCAGAACAGUCUUGGCAAUGUGUGCCACAUUUGACCUACAUCUAGAGUAGUUAGAUGUGAAAACUGCAUUUCUUCAUGGAGAACUUGAAGAAGAAAUAUAUAUGCUCCAACCAGAAGGUUUUGCAGAAACAGGAAAGGAGAACUUGGUUUGCAGGUUGAACAAAUCUCUAUACGGUCUCAAACAGGCGCCGAGGUGUUGGUAUAAGAGAUUUGAUUCCUUCAUCAUGAGCCUUGGAUACAACAGACUCAGUUCAGACCAUUGUGCAUAUUACAAGAGGUUUGAAGAUAAUGAUUUCAUUAUUUUGCUGUUGUUUGUGGAUGACAUGUUGGUAGCAGGUCCCAACAAAGAUCAAAUCCAAGAAUUGAAAGCACAGUUGGCUAGGGAGUUUGAAAUGAAGGACUUGGGACCAGCAAACAAGAUUCUAGGGAUGCAAAUUCACCGAGACAGAAAUAACAGGAAGAUUUGGCUUUCACAGAAGAAUUACUUGAAGAAAAUCUUGCGGCGCUUCAACAUCCAAGAUUGUAAGUCAAUUUCUACCCCACUUCCUAUUAAUUUCAAAUUAUCCUCAAGUAUGUGUCCUAGCAAUGAAGCAGAGAGGAAGGAGAUGUCUCGAGUACCGUAUGCAUCAGCAGUGGGAAGUUUGAUGUUCACUGUGAUAUGUACUAGACCGGACAUUGCACAAGCAGUGGGAGUAGUCAGUCGAUACAUGGCGAAUCCUGGUGGAGAGCAUUGGAUAGCUGUGAAGAGGAUUCUGAGAUACAUCAGAGGAACCUCAGAUGUUGCAUUAUGUUAUAGAGGAUCAGAGUUUACUGUCAGGGGCUAUGUGGAUUCAGAUUUUGCAGGAGACCUUGAUAAAAGGAAAUCCACUACUGGUUAUGUGUUUGCACUUGCGGGAGCAGCUGUAAGCUAGGUUUCGAAACUGCAGACCGUUGUAGCUUUAUCUACAAAAGAAGCAGAGUACAUGGCAGCUACACAAGCUUACAAGGAAGCUAUUUGGAUACAAAGGUUAUUGGAGGAGCUCGGGCACGGACAAGAGAAAAUUUCUGUAUUUUGUGACAGUCAGAGUGCCUUGCACAUUGCAAGGAAUCCAGCCUUUCAUUCCAGGACAAAGCACAUAGGAGUCCAGUAUCACUUCGUUCGUGAAGUAGUGGAAGAUGGAAGUGUGGAUUUGCAGAAAAUCCAUACCAAAGAGAACCUAGCAGAUGUUUUGACCAAGCCGAUAAAUAUUGAUAAGUUUGUCUGGAGUAGAUCCUCUUGUGGCCUAGCAGAAAUGUAGGCAACAUGAUUAUGGCGAAGCAGAAAGGAUGGUGUGGAGAUUGAUUGUUUUUCAAUUUAAUCUCCAAGUGGGAGAAUGUCAAAGUUGGCUGCAUCUAGAAGGGUUUGACAUUUGAAAGAAGAAAAUGGUGCAACCGGCCAAAGAAAAUGGUGCCAUCCAAAUGAGAAAAAGAAGAAGUUGGUAACUACAUUUGAAAUAUAUACAUAUAUAUAUUAAUUUAAUAGCCAUUUUUUAGCUAUAAAAGGAAGAGCUCCCUAAUUCAUUUGCAUUUAAAUUCCAUUUAGAGAGCAAUUUAGAGAGUUGAGAGAGAGUUCAAGAGCUUGCAUUUAUAAGCUCUUGUUACAGUGAUUGAGAGAGUUUGAGUGUAUUGGGGUUUUGGGUAGUGAGCUAAAAUACUACAAUAGUUGUAACUCCUUUUCACUAGUAAAAUAGUUCCUUCUGUCUUCGCCCGUGGAUGUAGGCUAAAAGUCGAACCACGUAAUUUCUGGUGUCCUCUAUUGUGCUUGUUCUUUAUUUUUCUACCAAUUUUUACUUUAGCUGCGUGUCUGCUUCACCCACCAAUUUCCUAACAGAUGCAGCAUCCACAAGUAAUGAAGAAAGUCCAGGAAGAAUUAGCUCAAGUUGUGGGCAUGGACAGUUGUGUUGAAGAAUUUCACCUGUCUAGAUCAAUGUAUUAAGAUGCUGUGGUGAAGGAAACAUUUCGUCUGCAUCCUGCAGUGCCUUUAUUACUACCACGUAGGGCAAGCGAGAGUAGCAACAUUGGUGGCUAUAACAUUCCCAAAGAUACAACUAUUAUGUUGAAUGUUCGGGCAAUCCACAGGGACCCUAAACUUUGGGAUAAUCCCUUAGAAUUUCGACCCGAGAGGUUUCUAGAUGAUGGUAUCGCGAGUAAGUUCGAUUACUCAAGUAACAAUUUUCAGUACUUGCCAUUUGGUUCUGGUAGAAGAAUGUGUGCUGGGAUUGCUCUAGCUGAGAGGAUGCUGAUGUUUGUUCUGGCUUCCUUAUUGCACUCAUUCGAGUGGGAAUUGCCAACUGGCACAAAGCUAAACUUAUCAGAAAAAUUUGGGAUUGUCAUUAAGAAAAAAGAGCCAUUGGUUGCUAUUCCAACACCAAGACUAUCCAAUUCAGGGCUCUACCAUUAAGACAAUGGUUGUGAUGAUUUUGUUAAUUUCCGGAGAUUUGUAUGUUAUUUUAAGUUCAAUCGUAAUAAAAUAUUUCAAAUAAGAGUCCUCCGUUGCUUUUUUUUUUUUCAACGGCAUAAUCUGUCGUCAUGCUUGUAUUUGGAGCUACUUUGUAAUAAUUAUGUUUGAAUUACAAUUUAUAAAUAUUACAUUUUAAAAUUUUAUGAGAGUCUAAAUUUAUACACGUUCAAUAACCCGCUUCAUAUAUAUUUAACACAAUUUAUAUCAUACAUUGUACACCCAUUUUUCAUAAAUUACACUAUUUUGUAUCUCUAAAUAAUAUUAGGUAUUGAUAUUAUAAAAUAUAUAUAUAUAUAUGUUUAUCAAAAGACAAUACCAUUCAAUAUAUAUUGAAAAGAGAACAAAUAAGAUUUUCUUAUGGUUUAAAAAUAUUAUGAAUUCUGCUGUUGAACAGUAUGGAAACAAGGUCUCUGUUGUUAAAGGUGAAGAAGCAACAGGGAACAAUAUUGAAGGAAGAAAUUUCACAUGUUUAGUUGCUGAAUUUGCCGCAGAAUUCUAUCGGUAGUAAAAAGAUUAGAGUUUUUAUUUUUCUCUAUUAAUGUUAAGUCAAUUUUCUAUAACAAAUUCGGUUGAGUUUAAUUGUGUUACAAUAUAAAUUGAAUGAUAAUAGAAUUUUCAACGAAUAUUUCAAUAUAUUUGUUAUGCGAUCGAUUUUAAAAUUUAUAAAAUUAUUUGUUACUAAAUUGCAUCAUAUGCUAAAAUCACCUGAAACCUAAUUCCAUAACUAACCGUUUAUUUUUAGUUCUCAAGAAAUCUUGUAAGAACAAAAUUCUUUUAUAACAAAACUUUUACAACACAUUAAUUUGUAACUCAUUCCUGUGCGAGAAUCACUCUCAAUUUCCUUCAAUUGCUGUUUAACAAUCAUCUGCUUAUCAAAAUUCAAGCAUAAUCUUUCUUUUUUUUAAUUUCUUCAUCAUUCUUUUAAAAAAAAAUCAGGAUAUGCUGUUAAAUUUUGAAAUAAAUUAUCUCAAAAUAAUUACUAACCAGAAAAAACAAAGGGGUUUAACUAGGUUAUGCAUACCUUUGAAAAUUAUAUGUUGAUCGAUAAGAAUGAUGAUCACGAUUGAGGAGUUUAAUUAAAAUAUAUAAGAUUUUAAAAUUAAUCAGGGUUAAAUUGUGAAUUUUAGAAAGAGAGGCUUUGUGAGAAUGCUGAAAGGGUGUUAAUAGUUCCACUCUUUUUAAAAACAACCAUAGUCAUCAUUUUUCCCGAUUUCUUCUUCCCAUCACCAUCUUACUUAGAAAUUUCCCAGAGCCUUUGUUUCCCACCUUUCAUUUUUCUUCUUUCUAAUUUAAUAUUAUAGUAUUAUAAAAAUAAUUACUCCCAUUUUAUCAAACACCUCCAUUCUACCAAGGCCUUGUUUUAGUAGUAGGCUUUUAUUAUCUCAAUAAAAUUGAAAAAACAAAUCUCAAUAAUAUUGGAAAAAAAAAAACCUACCCAUAUUUGUAACUUUAAUUUAUUAUUCUCCAUGGACCUACUUUUUAGCUUUGAAUUUUUUUGGAGCCAUAUAUAAACAGAAUAUGUUGAAAUCAGCACCAAAAAAAAAAAAUUAUUAUUAUAUAAUUUUUGUUCCCAAGGACAUGACUGAGUGAUUUUCAAGAAGUUUUGUUUGGCUGGCCACUUAAGUUUAAAUCUUGGUGGAGAUUAGAGGUUAAGAAAUAAAUUUGGACUUUGCACACCCCUUUAACUUUUAAAAAGAAAUGAAAAAAAUUAAUUAAUUAAUCUUUAUUUUAUUUAUUAAAUGUCAUAAUCCUAUGCGUAUUUUAUUUGUUAUCUUUCUAUUUAAAAGACAGGAGGGCAGAUAAAACUGAAAUAAAUUUUUAGCCCUAUCUCCAUCUUUCAAGUUUCAUAGUUAGGUGACCAGCUAAAGAAAAUUAAUUGAAAACUACUCCAUCAAAUUAAAAAUUUUUAUUUAUUUAAUUUGUGGAGAUGUAGAAAAUCAAACCCCAUGCCUUUUCGCAUGCAAAAGUGUCAACCUGAUCUAGUUGUGUUGCAACAGUGAACAUAUUUCAAUACAUGACUAUCAUCCUUUAUCGUAAAUACUACUAUAACUAAUAACAUACAAUUGAAAUAAUAGUGUUAACACUUGGCUAUAAAUAAAGGUUUUGUGCUUGAAUCUUCACGCAUGACCUUCAUUCCCUUAUUGACUUUGCUAACACAGAUUUUGAGGCAUUAAAAACUAAAUAAUAAUUGACUUUGUGGGCCGAGGAUGCCAGCAACAAGGAGACCACAAUUAUCACUUGUUAAGUUACUCUAAUUGCCGUUGUCUUAUAUUCAUAGAAUAUUAGUAAUAAGAUUAUUGUAGAAUUUUUUUAUAUUAAAAUCAAGUCAAUUUGUUAUAACAAAUUUAGUUGAAUUUAAUCGUAUUACCACAUAAAUUGAAUAAUAAUAGAAUUCUCGAUAAUAUUUCAAUAUUUUAAUCUCAAGCAUUGGAGUGGCAUUUAUUUGUUAUACGGUUGAUUUUAGAAUUUAUAAAAUUAUUCGUUACUGAAUUGCACCAUAUGCUGCAUCACCUGGAACUUACUAAACGGAACGUAGCGUUGGCACCGUUACUCAACAUUCACUGUUACGACUUUGGGACAUUAGAAUUAAAAUCUUCUGCACAUUUAAUUUGUUUCCUUCCAAAUUAAUAUUUAACAAAAUAUUUUUUCACAUUAUCAAUGGACAAAACUCCAACGAAAAUAACUAUACAAGAAAAAUGUAUGCUAGCAUUGAAUGCCAUAUCAUCUGUAAUUUUGUCAGGAUCGAUCAUUCUAAUUUUUAAGCAGAACUUUUUAUCAAUGGACAAACACCUCACACAGCUUGUCAGAGGCAUUAUUAUGAUGGAAAACUGCAAUGGUAUAUCUUGAAUUAUUGGUAGAAUAGUUCUUUGGAGCAAUCAAAACAGAUAAGACAGAUGAGAAAAUUGUCAAUACCCCACCGCAAAAGCAAAAGAAAAAAAGGAAAGGAGACAAAAGAGGAAGAAGAAAAAGAAAAAAGAACGAAGAAAAAAAUGGUGCCGCGCGGUAUAGGGAAGAAGAAGAAAAAUUAAUAAAAUAAUAGUGCACAAACUCUCUUUUCCUCUCUCCUUAUCUUUAGUUUUAAGCAUCUCUUUUAUUUUUAAAAAUUUCAAUUUAUCAUAUAUUUUUGUUAAAAGACUAAAAAAAUUUAUUAGCACACUCAUAUUUUUCAGAAACGUAAGGUUCUUAAAAAAUAUAGAAGACAAUUUAAAGAUAAUUAAUUUACGAUACGCAAAUAUAAAAUUUAUCCUUUAAAGAGAAAAUUGUUGUGAACUGGCUAAUCCAACAAUAAUGAAGAACAAAGCAGAAGCUUUUGCAUAGCAGUCAUGUGAUUGCUAUAAAUAAAGGGGCGUUUCCCUCAUUUUAUUCUUCGAAUUCUUUAGUGCCUUUUAAGCGAUUUAAGAGUCUAGUGAUUUGAGAGUUUGGGUGUAUUAUGGUUUUAAAUAGUGAGAUAAAAUACUACAAUACUUGUAACUCAUUUUUAUUAGUAAAAUAUUUUCCUUUUAUUUUCGCUCGUGGACGUAGGCUAAAAGUCAAACUACAUAAUUUAUGGUGUCCCUAUGUAAUUAUGUGUCUCAUUAUUUCUCAAUUUCGCUUUAAUUGCGUGUCUGCUAAACCCUUCAAUUUACUAACAAAAAUCGCCAAAAUUAUAUAAGCGGCCCAAAUGUUUUGCUAUUUCCAAGAAAUCCCCAAUCUGAAUGGACUAGACCAGAGGGAGGCAAGUUAGAAAUACGUUUCCUUCAUAGACAAUAACAACGAUGAGUCGAUGACAUCAAGCCACGUCGGUAUCAAUAUUGAAUUAAAGGUGUAAUUAUUCAGCCAAUGAGCCUUACACAUCAAGAUAAAAGUCAAGAAAAUGAAAAUUUAUCCUAAUUAAAACACUUUCUUGGUGCAUUUAGUUGUUUCCAUUUGAAGUUAAAAACAAUGUUUCUUUCGUUUUGUGGGCAACUCGACUGAGUUAGCUGGCUUUUAGUGCUAGUAUGUGAAAAUAGAAGGCUAAUGAUUUAUUUGUUAUCUUUUGAUAAAAUUAUUAAAGAUAUAAUAUAUUUUCCAUGAUAUAAGUGAAAAAUCGCAUCAACAUAGUUUCCAAGCUACAACAGCUAGUGUUUACCAAACACUUUGCUAUAUCUUUUAAGCUACAACUACCCAACCUUAAUCACAAACGCACCCUUAAUAGGUUGAUUGAAUUUGUGGGAUAUAGAUUCCACAUAUCUCAUGACCUAGUAAUUAUACAAGUGGUUCGUGAUCAAGAACAACAUUUGCUUCCGGCCCAGUGACCCAGCAACUGCUGCAUUGGUCGCCACCUAUGGUGCCGACGAUAUUGCAUGGUCCAAUUGUGGCCUUGAAUGAAAAAAGUUGUGCAAAUUAUUUAUGGGCACGAUGAUAAGUAACGCAAGCCUUGAUGCUAGUUAUGGUCGAAGAAAACAAGAGGUUAAGAAUACUAUCAGAGAUAUUCAUAACAACAAAAAGGGAAAAAAAAAAAGGCGUUGGCAAGUCCAUUGAUAUUGGUGAAUUGUCGAUUUCAACUUUGGCAUGUGUAAUUUAGAACCUGCGCAUUGUGGUAUGGCACUGGCACGCUUGCAUUGACGAGGGGACAAAUCUUGGGGCUGAGCUAAAAUUUAGGCUUGUAGAACUCAUGGUGCUAAUGGGAACACCAAAUAUUUUUUGACAUAUUUCGGUGCUUUCAUGGUUUAAUUCAAGGUAUAGAAAGGAGUGUUGAGAAUGUCAAAUAAAACGACAUUGAAUGGAAGUUUUCAAAGACAUGAUCCGCACUGAACAGCAACGACACGGUUGGUGAAGAUUUUUUCGUAAUACGAGUAUCUAAUUUUUGAAAAAUUAUAACCUCUGCAUCUAUAAAUAUGCUCAAUGUAUAAUGUUUUACUUAAGAAAUGAAAAACUUGUUUCUUCAUGGUAUCAGAGCGAGGUUCAGUGCCCUUAGGCUUGGCAAAACCUCGGGUCCGGUCCGGGUUUGGUGCAACCCGGGACCGGACCGGCUGCCAAAAAUUGAAACCCGGACCCGGACAAAACCCAACUUUUGAAUGUCCGGUCUGGGCUUGAGCCCGGCGUGUCUCGGGUCCAGAUUUUGUCUUCCGGGCUUCUAAGCCCGCAAACAAUUAUUUCAAAAAAAAUUAAAAAAGGCUCACAGCAGCAAGUCAGCAACAUAAAAUUAAAAAAGGCAAAAGUAUUUGGUCGAAAAAACAGAGCAACAAUAAUCACAAAUUCACAGGCUCACAGCAAGUCAGCAACAAUGCACAAAAUUGGUCGAAGAUAAAUACGAAUAGCAACAGCCAACAGAGAAGCAAUCGACAAAAAUGCAACUGGGAAGACAAAAUUUAUUAUUUCGCUAACAGACCUAUAAUGUUCUAAUGUCUUUUCAUUUUAUUUAAAAUACCAAGAAAAGAAAAGGUGAAAUCUAUAUAUGUUGUUAGGCCAAUUACCUAAGGUGUCGGUUCAAGAUUCAAGAAACACAAUGACCAGGUAAUUAAACAAGGAGCAAAGUCACUUGCUAUAUAUAUAUAUAUUAAAGAGAGGGCUAAAACUGAUGAGGCUGAGAAGGAGAGCUUGAAACAGAAGGCAAAAGAGUUGGAUGAGGAGGUUGCUCGUCGUGAUAUGUAGUGAUCGAGGAAAAAGACAAAAUGAUUGCAGAUAAGGGAAAGAUGGUUGAUUAGUUGAAGAAGGAAAGCCAAGUUAAGCAUGAUGAAAAUAUUUUACUGGAGUAACAGCCGCAACCGAGCAAAACCGAGUCAGCAAAUGCCAAACGAGAAGAGAUGAUGCCCACUGCCGAGUACCGAGGGACGACGGUGACGGACUGAUGGUGGGUGCUAGCCAACGGUGACGGUGGGUAGCCGGUGGCAGCAUCGCUGCUUAUGCCUUUGGGUUUGGGUAACUGGGGUCUGGGAAUUCGAAUUAGGGAUUUGGGUGUUUUGCGAUUUGGGUUUGGGUAACUGGUUUUAGAUUUUUUUUAAAGUUUAUUCAGAAAACGGGUCUGGGUCCGGGUCUGGGUUCCGGGUUUUUGGUGCUGAACUCGGACUGUGCCCGGAAAUGUCCGGGUUUUAAAUUCUGAAACCCGGAUCCGCUUUUGCAGCAUAUGCGGUCCGAGUUUUGCCCGGACCGGAUUGGCCGAGUCCGGACUGGAUCCGGUCCGGGCGGGUUUUUUUGACACCCCUAACUGCCUUGUUUGUAACAAAAGCAAAGAAAACUAAAUUCUUCCCACAACUAUUUUUCCACCAUUUUUUCUUCCUUAAAAGCAUUUCUAGCAUUAUAGAAACCCAUGCCAAUAAAAGAACAAGCCACACAUACGUAAAAACUUAAGUUUACAAAUCUAUCAACAGUCUCAUAAAUUUUCCCAAAAAGUGAUCUUAAAAAACCAAAAAUAUCAUCAAUUUUCUCAGCUUCCAAUAAACAAACUAUAAAAGUUUCGCACUCAAACACAGCCACACGCGCCUCCACGCACUUCCCGCAAUCACGGCCAACCACCACGUGCCUCUGUCACCACUAACUCACCCUCAUGCGCUCCAGAGGUUGCAGAAGACGCAAAAUAACGUGUCGUUUUCUUCUCUAGAAGUGCAGCAGCUUGGAAAAUGACUCGUCGUUUUUAUUCCGUUAGAAACGACAUGUCGUUUUCUUAAGCAGAAAUAAAACAACUUGUUGUUUUUGCCUUAAAUUUGUUUUUUCCUCGUUUGAAGCUAUACAACAUUUUUCUUUCUAAACUUGUUUUUUGCAAUAAAAAAGAAAAAAAUAGAGAAAACUCCAACUUAAUCUACUCAUGUUGUCAUUCAAUCUGUUCAACCUGAUGGAGUAUUUAAUGUCAGAAUUAUCCUUACUAAGACAAACUACGAUAUUUGGUCUCAAAUUAUAGAGAUGCAUCUCGCAGAAAGAAAAAAAACUCUCAUAUAUUCGUAGCAGCACAAAGCCAUCUGACAAAUUUUCAAAGGAAUAUGAGAAAUGGUAUAGUGAGAAUCAAAAAGUAAAAAGAUGGUUACUAAUAUCCAUGUGUCCUGAGAUCAUGAAGCUAUAGUUACGAAUUCCUACAGCUUACAAAAUUUGGAAUGCAUUAUCAAAAGUCUUUUAUGAUGGAAGCGAUGAAAUACAAGUUUUCACUCUAAACCAGAAGGCGUUCUCUACGAAGCAAAAUGGACAACCACUCUCUAAAUUCUACGGAGAAUUGAUCGAAGUAUUUGAAGAACUUAAUCAUCGAGAUAAAGUGGUCAUGAAGGAUCCAGAAGAUGUUAUAAUAUACAGAAAGUCUAUUGAAAGAUUGAGAGUGCACAUUUUUCUUGCUGGGCUAGAUGAAGAAUUUGACCAAGUUUGUGGAGAAAUUCUACGAAAAGAUACUAUCCCAAACUUAAAAGAAUGUUAUUCUAUAAUCCGAAAAAAAGAUGUACGGCAAAGCAAACUAAACAAGAAGGUGGACGACUCAGAAACGUCUGCUAUGAUAGCACUAGAGAACAAUGUUUUGAAAUUGUUGGAUAUCCUGACUGGUGGCAUACUCAAAGGAAUAACACAAAGCAGGGAUCAAAAACUGCAAUGGCUGAAUCCACAUCCACUACAGAUCUUAGAAAAGAAUCUUCAGCGCAAAUUGCAACCCCUGUCAAUUCAGGUAAGGUCCUUAAAACUCUUACAUAUGUUAUUAAUAGUAUAUGAAUAAUUGAUUAUGGUGCAACUGAUCAUAUGACUUUUGAUUCUCGACAAGUUUCUCAAUUGAAACCAUCUUCACAAAAACAUGUUUCCACUGUAAAUAGAACUACAACCUCAGUUAUUGGGGAAUGAUCUUUACAACUCACAGUUAAAUUAAAUUUAGACUAUGUGUUAAUUGUUCUAUCUUUAAAUUAUAAUCUUUUAUGUGUCUCAAAUAACCACUUACUUAUCAUGUGUUGUAAUGUUUUGGCUCGAUCAUUGCGUGUUUAAGGACAUCCAAACGAAGCAAAUGAUUGGUUAUGGUAUUAAACGAGACAACUUAUAUUACCUGGAGAUGACAUCAACAAACACUGAAAAGCUAAGCCCCGCAUUAGUAGCAAACAGUUCCAUGAAAAAAAAAAGAAAUAAGAAAUUUGGUUAUGGUAUAGACGUUUAGGGCAUGUGUCAUUUGGUUACUUAAAAAAAUUGUUUCCUAGUUUGUUUCUGAAAUUUGAUGUUUGUGAACUUUCAAAUAGUCAUCGAACUAAUUUUCCAUUGUCCUUAAAUAAAAAUCCAGUUCCUUUCAUGGUAGUACAUUCUGAUGUAUCGGACACCUUCAAUCUCCCUUGGAUUCCAAACUCCUUUUCUAGUUCUAAAUGAAGAAUUAUGUCAUCAAAUGUGCCGAAUUUACCCCCACAUAUGUUUGGUUGUGUUGCCUUCGUUCAUUUGCCACGACAAGACAAAUUAUCUCCUCGAGCACUACGUUGUGUGUUUGUAUGGUAUGCCUUACAUCAAAAGGGGUACUGAUGCUAUCAUCCUCUAUUAAAAAAAAUAUAUACAUCACCAUGGACGCUUCUUUCAUGAAGAUAUCAUGUACUACCCAUCGGAGCAUAAAUUUCAUGGGGAGUAUAAUAAAGAGGAAAUUCAUACUCUUACAUAUCUUCCACCUGAAGAAGAUUAAUCCUCCAUUGAGGUAGUAAACCUUCAAGAUAUUGGAAAAUAAAAUGGCGAUGAUUCUCAGGCUGAGACAAGUGAAGACACAUUUGGGGAGCAAAAUAACUCAGACAUAACCACAAUCGAGAACGAGUCCAUGAAGAAAUAUCUAACAAAUCAUCUGCAGAGGAUGAUCCUACCACAAAUCCCAGUCUAAUCAGAAGAAUACUUCCCCAUCAUAAAAAUAGAGGUAUCUCUAAACCCAUAUAUAAGUCUGACCUCUCUAGUAGAGUCAAAUACCCUAUGAGUAAUUUUGUGUCUAACCAUCGCUUGUCAGAAUCAAAUCAGUCAUUUGUGAAUCAAUUAUCUACUGUGUCUAUUCCUAACAGUGUACAAGAAGCCUUAAAAAAUCCAAAGUAGAAAGCGGCUAUGAAUGACGAAAUGAGAUCUCUUCCAAAAAAAUCAAACAUGGGAACUAGUUGAUCUUCUACUAGGAAAGAAACCAGUGGGUUGCUCUUUAGAAGUAUUUGUCGAGAGAGUUUGAGAUGAAGGAACUCAAAAAUAAAAAUAAAAAUCAUACCCAAUAAAAGAGAAAAAAUAAUCCACAAAAAAAUCAUCAAGAAAAUAAAUUUGAGACAAAGAGAAGAUAUUAAUUAACCCCUGGGUUGCCUUGGAACCACAGCUUUGGCUUCCAUUUUUCAAUUCUUGUCUACAAGUAAUUUCUUGUUUGUUUACAAAGAUGAAGGCUGAUUAAUGAAGCUCUAUUAACAAUGAAUGAAUCAAAAAACUUGAGUCUUGAAAAGACUAACGGUCAUAUUUUUCCAACUCCGAAUUAGUGCCGUUUGAUGAGUCCUUGCUAAAACAAUCACUCGGCAAAAAAUGAUCAUUUUUCAACCAGCAAAACUCAUUCAUUGUUUCUCACCUUAGUCAAGAUUUAAAAAUUGUUUCAAAAUAAGCCUAGUGGUUAGAACCCAAGCGUCACAAUUGUGAUGUCAUGGGUUCGAGCCCCCACAAUAAUAUCCUUCUUCAAUUUGAGUGAAGACGGUACUAUCUCUUUCGAAAUAUGAGUAGAGUGGACGUCCCUCAAAUAUUAGAGAGGGUUAAAAUCUAGGUUGUACUAUAUAAGAUUUGUAAAUUAGUCUUAGUAAUUAUUUGAUUGUAAAUAUUAAUAUACUAAUCUAAUUAAAUAUGAGUUGUAAUCUGAGCAUUAGUCUCAUGUAAUAAAAAAAAUUGUUUCAAAAUGAGAUUCUUAAAAAAAUAAUAAAAUGAUAUUUAACUUAAUUUUAAUAUAGGAAAAGGACAUCUACACUUCCAAAGUUUGGGGAAAUGGCCAUCAAUAUCCCUAACUUUCCAAAAAGAGACACCAAGACCCCUUUUGACCAUAAUACCCUUUACUUCUAUUAUCCCAAAAAAAUUGACUCUAAUGUUUUAUAAUAAAUAAAAAUAUAACAUUAAAAUAAAUGAAAUAGUAUAUACAUUUUAAAAUAGUUUCAAUAUUUAAAAACCAUUUUAAUAUUUUAAAUUAUAUUAUAUAUAUUUUAUUAUAUUAAAGUAAAUUUUAUAAUAAAUAGAAUCAUAAUAUUGAAAUAAAUGCAUUAAAAUUUAAAUUAUCUUGAAUAUUAUGUAAAAUAAUAAUUUUAUCAUUAUUAGUAUAUGAGAAUUUUUUUAAUUGUAGAAUGUAUUUAACGCAAAUAUGUAUUUAAAAUCUCUACAAUAAAUAAAAAUAUACUAUUAAAACAAAUCUCUACAAUAAAUAAAAAUAUACUAUUAAAACAAAUCUCUACAAUAUAUACAUACAUACAUACAUACAUAUACAUUGGCUUGGUAUUUUAUUUUUCAUUUUUAAACUUAUUAAAUCCUCUAACUAUCAUUUGAAUUUUUUUUUCAAUGAUGAAGAGGCCAUUGCCAGAUAAAUUAUUAAAAUGAGUAAUUAUCAAAAACCACCCUUGAGGUUUGGCUUAUUCUCAGUUUGAUAGAUUGUAUUUGUGUAUUCUCAGCCACCUCCUUAGUAUACCAUUUAGUUGAUCGUUUGUUACUGGAAAAAAUGACCAAAAUACCCUUGUGUUGAAAAAAAAAUACUUCGUUCACACAAAUCAAAGAAUUGUUGGCCAGUCAUAUCUGUUUUAGCGCCAAGAGUUGUGAUUACAUUGUAAAUACCAAAUAAAACAUUGGACGGCCCCCCUGCGUCAACAGAAAGAGCAGAGAUUCUAGUUCACUUUGAGGCAAGAUUUAGGCGUUCAAUCAUUUUUGCAACACCAGUAAUCCCUGCACUCAUCUCAUGCUGAACUUCUUUACCUAGUUGCUUAACUGAAGUAUUCCUAGAGACCAGCCUCUCCUUUAAACUGCAGGUACCUUUUGAGAUUAAUUUCUUAUAUCUGUUAAGAAACAAACGCAAGUCAAAUUGACAAGUUGAAACAUAUAAAUACCAAUUCCAUUUUUUUUCUUUUUUUUUUAAUAAUAAAAAAAAUACAAGAAAACAAAUAAAAGAAAUUAUUCACAAAAAUUAAUUCUAUGAAUUAAAAUUACUUACCUCCCCGGCAACGGCGCCAAAAACUUGUUGUGCAAAUUUUAAUGUACUCGCAAGCGCACGAAUCUAUUGUAGUAUAGAUCAAUGGUGUUGAGUGUCGAUCCCACGAGGAGGUGGAUUUUAAUUGUGUAUCGAAUUAAUUUUGUAAAUGAGUGGUUGGAUUUAUGGUGGAAAUGAUUUGGAAUAUGUUAAGACUUAAAUUAAAAUGGCGAGAAUAAAUUCUAAAAUUGGAAUUGCAAUGGAGAGAAUAAAUUGAAGAGAAUUAUAUUGAAAUGACGUACUUGGGUAUCUGGAUCCGUAUCAACAUGCAUCAUGGGCUAAAUAAUCCGUAUUAAUGCCAAUUAAAUCAUGAGGGGGGAAUCCACACCUCAUGAACCACGCUCUAAUCAAUAUGGUGCUAAGGGCUUAUCGUGCCAAAUAAUAAUAACCUUAUACUAGAGAGCCGGUGUAACCAAGGCGGUAUCUAGACAAGAUUAGUAUUAUUUGUCGACGAGAAGUCAAAACAUCCACAAAAACUAGAGGGGAAGAGAAAAUAAAUUUACCAAAUUAAGCCCAUGACACAUGUUGAGACUUCACCUUCAACCCAAGCUUGAAAGAAAAUUAGCCACUCAUAAUUGAACUAGGGGCAAAAUGGGAAUUUAUUAAA